Long non-coding RNA from Oncorhynchus tshawytscha (Chinook salmon), 2427 nucleotides. NCBI's taxonomy places the organism in Eukaryota, Metazoa, Chordata, Actinopteri, Salmoniformes, Salmonidae. The record is from Ensembl.
AGGUGAGAUACGUCCCUACCCUGCUGCAGGGGGAGGUGAGAUACGUCCCUACCCUGCUGCAGGGGGAGGUGAGAUACGUCCCUACCCUGCUGCAGGGGGAGGUGAGAUACGUCCCUACCCUGCUGCAGGGAGGAGGCAGGGAGAGGUGAGAUACAUCCCUACCCUGCUGCAGGGGGAGGUGAGAUACGUCCCUACCCUGCUGCAGGGAGGAGGCAGGGAGAGGUGAGAUACAUCCCUACCCUGCUGCAGGGAGGAGGCAGGGAGAGGUGAGAUACGUCCCUACCCUGCUGCAGGGAGGAGGCAGGGGGAGGUGAGAUACAUCCCUACCCUGCUGCAGGGAGGAGGCAGGGAGAGGUGAGAUACAUCCCUACCCUGCUGCAGGGAGGAGGCAGGGAGAGGUAAGAUACUUCCCUACCCUGCUGCAGGGAGGAGGCAGGGGGAGGUGAGAUACAUCCCUACCCUGCUGCAGGGAGGAGGCAGGGAGAGGUGAGAUACAUCCCUACCCUGCUGCAGGGAGGAGGCAGGGAGAGGUGAGAUACGUCCCUACACUGCUGCAGGGGGAGGUGAGAUACGUCCCUACCCUGCUGCAGGGGGAGGUGAGAUACGUCCCUACCCUGCUGCAGGGGGAGGUGAGAUACGUCCCUACCCUGCUGCAGGGGGAGGUGAGAUACGUCCCUACCCUGCUGCAGGGAGGAGGUGAGAUACGUCCCUACCCUGCUGCAGGGAGGAGGUGAGAUACGUCCCUACCCUGCUGCAGGGAGGAGGUGAGAUACGUCCCUGCCCUUCGUUCCUUCUCACUGUUUUUGUUUUUCUUCAUUCGUCUUUUGUAUAAACUAGAAUCAUUUCACUGUUUUGCUACUGCUGUGGCAAUCACAGUUCUGUGUCGUACCGCUAGUAUGGGAUGGAACGUAAUUUAAUUUGACUGAGUACGUCACCAAAUCAUCGUCCCAUAUACAAACACACAAGCCAUGUGCUUACCAGCAAGUCAUUUAACAUGGGAGGUUCGUUUCCAGUCCUGCUUCUAUCUAUAUAUAUAUAUAGAGCGCGUGUAUACUUGGUGUAGAACUUUGCAUAUAUAUAAAUAUAAAAAACUUUAGUUUUUCUGUUUUUUGAUGUUGACUAUCUAUAAUGUCUCCUAGUAGUGAACACAUUUCUGACUGUGUAAUUGUACAUUUGUAAACCCUUGUAAUGUAAACGUGAUUUACCACCCUUUUUGGUAUCAGACGAUAUAUAUAUAUAUGUAUAUAUAUAUGUAUAUCUAUAUAUAAAAAAACAAAACGUUUAAAAAAAACUCUUAACUCUGUGCAUUUCGAUGCAUAUUCCCACCUCCUUGUUUGUGACAUAUGAGUUGUUGUAUAUUGUAAAUUGUAAUAUCAAAUUUUGGUUUUGAAAAUUCCUUUCUAUACUGCGUAGUACUUGUACAAAGCACCCCCCACCUCAACAGAACUCACCACCUUAACAACAGAACUCACCACCUCAACAACAGAACUCACCACCUCAACAACAGAACUCACCACCUCAACAACAGAACUCACCACCUCAACAACAGAACUCACCACCUCAACCCCAUCCACCGAACUACACUGCAAACGCUCCCUGUCCGUUUACUAAACGUCCAUUACGCCACAGUUACCACUGAAGUCAACGAGACGUGGUACACCAACAUGUCAGUAGUGAAGAGACUCUUUUAUUUUUUACACAAGUCUAUAUAAAUUACAGAGAGUGAGACAUGGCAUCUGACUGAAGCGUCAACAGCUGACAGUGACUCUGGGUUUCCGCCUGUUCUGUAGCAGUCAAAACAUUACAGCACACACGCUACAGAACACACGCUACAGAACACACGCUACAGAACACACGCUACAGAACACACGCUACAGAACACACGCUACAGAACACACGCUACAGAACACACGCUACAGAACACACGUUACAGAACACACGCUACAGAACACACGCUACAGAACACACGCUACAGAACACACGCUACAGAACACACCUUACAGAACACACGCUACAGAACACACGCUACAGAACACACCUUACAGAACACACGCUACAGAACACACCUUACAGAACACACCUUACAGAACACACGCUACAGAACACACGCUACAGAACACACGCUACAGAACACACGCUACAGAACACACGUUACAGAACACACGCUACAGAACACACGCUACAGAACACACGCUACAGAACACACCUACAGAACACACGCUACAGAACACACGCUACAGAACACACCUUACAGAGAACACACGCUACAGAACACACGCUACAGAACACACGCUACAGAACACACCUUACAGAACACACGUUACAGAACACACGCUACAGAACACACGCUACAGAACACACCUUACAGAACACACCUUACAGAACACACCUUACAGAACACACGCUACAGAACACACGCUACAGAAC